Non-coding RNA from Monodelphis domestica (gray short-tailed opossum), 419 nucleotides. Lineage: Eukaryota; Metazoa; Chordata; Mammalia; Didelphimorphia; Didelphidae. The record is from RefSeq and is a predicted model, not a curated record.
UUUUCUAAUUCCUAUAGACAGCUUUGGUUGUUGUGAGAUGAUCCUAAUUAAAUUAUGCAAGAGCAGUGAACUAGCUAAGCGUCUUCAGAUCACCUGGUGAAUUAACCCUUCGGGAGCAUCUGCACUGGGGUUCCAGGUCCUCCGCAAAAGCCCACGUUUUUCAUUGUUCUCAGUGGAGAAUCAUGGAAUUCAGAAGUCGGCGUGGAGCCUUUCGGCCUGGUCAUUUUGAGAGGUAGCUCAGUGUGGUGGAUGGAAGAUGACCUUGAAGUAAGGAAAACCUGGGUUCAUCCUCCUGCCUCACCUCUUUACUAGUUGUGUGACCCUAGUGCCCAUGAAUGUCACAGCUGUCAAACGUCUGUACACAAGAAGAUAAAAAAUGAAAUUAAUAAAAGGCAGAUCAACAUUUCGUUUGUUUGGAA